AAAAGAGGUUACUUAUGGGCAAAUGGUGGAUGCCUUGGGAGCAGGAGGCGAUGAAGGACGUGGCGUGGCUGCGAUAAGCUUCGGCGAGGUGCUUAGCAACCUAUGACCCGGAGAUCUCCGAAUGUGGAAACACUUUGCGGCAAACCCGCAAAACCCAACCCGCAAGGGAUGGGGGCGAACCCAGCGAAGUGAAACAUCUUAGUAGCUGGAGGAAAAGAAAAAAAAUAAAAAUAUUCCCCAAGUAGCGGCGAGCGAAAAGGGAUGGGCCUAAACCAAUGAAUAGUAACUUAGGUCAGACCUCCUAAAAAACUUAGGAGCCCAGUUUGGGGGAGGUCUGACCUAAGUUACUAUUCAUUGGGGUUGUAGGAUGAUAAUAGGGAUUUAUCCCGGGAAGUCAAAAAAAUUGCUUUGGUUAGCUGAAUGCCCCUGGAAAGGGCGGGCAGAGAAGGUGAUACCCCUGUAAGCGAAAACCAGCAAAACUUCCUGAUUAUUAUUCCUGAGUACCUUAGGGAAAGAAAGCCCUGAGGGAAUCUAGCUGGACUGUCAGCUAAGGCUAAAUACUACCUGCUCACCGAUAGUGAACUAGUACCGUGAGGGAAAGGUGAAAAGUAGCCCGGUGAGGGCGUUGAAAUAGUACCUGAAACCAUUUUGCCUUCAAAGAGUGGGAGCUGCCGCAGCUCACUGUGUUUGCUGCGGAAUGAUCAAUUUUCAAUGAUCAAUUUUCAAUCAAUUUUCAAUUAUUUAAUUUUUUAAUUUUAAAAUUGGGAUUUGUUUGAAAAUUGAAAAUUCGUAAAUUGAAAAUUUCGCCAAAGCGAGCAUAGCGAGCUGUGGCGGUGACCGCGUGCUUUUUGUAGAACGAGCCAACGAGUCUUCCUACUUUCUUCGUCUAAGCGGUUCUGCCGCUAAGGCAUAGUGAAAGCAAGCGUUAAUAGCGCGACCUUAAAAGAAAGUGGGCGGGACCCGAAGCCAGGCGAGCUUGCCAUGACCAGGAUGAACGUCUCCGAAAGGCGACAGGAGGUCCGAACCAAUAAGCUGUGCAAUGCUUUUGGAUGAGUUGUGGUAAGGAGUGAAAAGCUAAUCGAGCCUGGGAAUAGCUGGUUCUCCCCGAAAUAGCUUUAGGGCUAGCCCAAGUAAAUAAUUUUAUGGGGGUAGAGCACUGAAUGGUUUGUCAUUGGGUUUUCCCAGAUAAGCCAAUCAAACUCCGAAUACCGUAAAAUGUUCCUUGGAGUCAGAACGCGGGAGCUAAGUUCCGUGCUCAAAAGGGAAACAGCCCAGACCGUCGUCUAAGGCCCCUAAAUUUAAACUAAGUGUUAUAAGGAAGUGGGUUUUCUAUAAUAGUUAGAAAGUUCGCUCAGAGGCAGCUAUCUUUUAAAAAGUGCGUAAUAGCUUACUAUCUGAGAAGACCCGCGCCAAAGUAUGCAGGGGGCUCAAGUUUAAUGCCGAAGACACGGAUUCUUGUGUUUUACACAAGAGUGGUAGGGGAGCGUUCUUUGUUCACUGAAGCUAAUUCGCGAGAAUUUGUGGAGAACAAAGAAGUGAGAAUGUUGGCAUGAGUAACCGCAAUCGCGAUGAAAUUCCGCGACACCGAAAGCCCGAGGUUUCCUUGGCAAUGGUAAUCAGCCAAGGGUUAGGCGGCCCUAAGCUAACUGCCGAAGGGUAUUUAGCGAUGGACAGGUGGUUAAUAUUCCACCCCCUCGAUAUUUUUUCAAUGAAGUGCGAAGUGUAGUAAACAAGGCGAGUUAUUGGAUUCUCGUUUGCAGCUUUAGGAGACAAGAGCUGUGAGGAACUAGGGUAAUACCUAGGAACUUUGUCGAGCACGCUUCCCAGAAAAGCUUCAAAGAGCUAAGAAUAUUGAGCCCGUACCGCAAACCGACACAGGUGGGCAAGCGCAAGUAUGCUAAGGUGAACGAGUGAAACUUCGUUAAGGAACUAGGCAAAAAAGCAGGCGUAAGUUUUCGAUAUGCCUUGCCUUGCGCUUCGCACAAGGAAAUCCUAAAUCCGAAAUUCUAAACAAAGAAAAAAAAUUCUAAAUCCUAAAUCCGAAAUUCUAAACAAAUUACAAAUAUUAAAUUACAAAUUCUAAAUAAAAACGCAAAAACCCCGCAAGGGAAGUUUGUAAUUUAGAAUUUAGAGUUUGUUUAGGAUUUAGAUAUUAGAAUUUAGAGUUUGUUUAGGAUUUAGAUAUUAGAAUUUAGAAUUUUCUCGUGCGGAGCGCGAGGUCGCAGCGACUGACCCCAGGCGACUGUUUACCAAAAACACAGGUCCCUGCUAACUCUUAAAGAGGAUGUAUAGGGGCUGAAACCUGACCAGUGCCCGUGUGUCAAAACUGGGGGUGCUUGCCGCAAGGUAAGUGCUCACUGGACUAAGCCACGGGUGAACAUCCGCGGUAAUAAAAGAGUUGCCGCUUGGCUAAAGCAAUUUAGCCAAAAAAACUUGACUAUAUGCUGGAAACUCUGGCGUACUUUAGGAGAAAUCCGACAAGUGUAUCCGUAAGGGCGGAUGCCAGACAAUCAGCAGGAAAGGUCGCGAAUCGAAUUUUGGAACGUCUUGAGUGGCUGUUAACUUCGUGUCCACGAAAUCCCGACUCUAGAUAGUAUUCUUUCUACUCGAUAUACCGAGAAAGAGGAAUGCUGUCAAAAAAAGAGGGCGGGUAGUACCCACAUAAAGUAUAGAUAAUGUGGGAUAGUGGAAAGCUCUAACAGUCACUCAUAAUAGCGAUAAUGAAUUUGUUAUCGCUCCAAGGUUCGAUUCGCGAAAUCCUCAGAGACUACACGUCAAGCCCCGCCCAAAGCUAAGGCAUUGUGGCGGGUGAAGAUAUAGUCCAUACUUCAAGCGAUUGAAGAAUAAGGUCAAAAUGAACUCUGACCGUGUUAAAGUAGGAAACAACUGCUUUAGUAAAAUUCGGCUAUAUGCUGGAACAUCUGGUGCAUCUGGCAAUACUCUGGUAUAAUUAAGGAAUAAUACUCCUUUAUCAUUAUGCCAAGUAAAAAAUUGUCCAGUGCAGACAAUCAGCAGGAAAGAUUCAAUUUUGCCAACUGGAUUGUUGGCUUCGUUGAUGGAGAAGGCUGCUUUACAGUAAGCUUUUUCUCGCAUCCAAAAUCUCGCUUAAGACUAAAAUGGCAAGUAUUCCCUGAGUUUGUAAUUACUCAAGGAAUAAAAAGUCAAGCUACUUUAGAAAAAAUAAAAGAUUUUUUGGGUUGUGGAAAAAUAUAUCUUAACAAAAGAAGAGAUAAUCAUCACGAACAUCUAGUAAAAUUUGUCGUAAGAGAUCGUAACGAUUUACUUACAAAAAUUUUACCAUUUUUUGAAGAAAACCAAUUAAGAACAGCUAAAAUAAAUGACUUUGCUAUUUUUGCAAAAAUUAUUAAAAUGAUGCAAAAAGGCAAUCAUCUCCAAGAAAAAGGAUUAGCUAAGAUUCGCUUAUUGGUCCAAAAAAUGAAUAACAGAAAAUUUAGAUGAUUAAUAAAUUGAAAAUCCUCAGAGGCCAUACGCCGAAAACGUAUUUUGUUUUUUUAAGCAAAACAUUAAGAUAUGGUCCGAACUCUGUGGCGACAUAGAGAGUUUGCUUUAAUGAUAAAGCAAGAAUAACAUUAUUGAGCGUAAUCCCUUGCCGCGUAAGUUGCGGCCCGCAUGAAAGGUCCAACGAUCUGGGGACUGUCUCAACGAAGUGCUCGGUGAAAAUGUAGUGCCCGUGAAGAUACGGGACACCUACGGCUAGACGGAAAGACCCCGGGAGCUUUACUAUAAGCUCUUAUUGGCUUGCCAGUUUUUAUGCGUAGCGUAGCGGGUAGGCUUUGAAACCCCAUUCUCGGAUGAGGUGGAGCCAACAAUGAAACACCCGUCUUAAAAAUUGUCAAAUCUAAUCCCCCACCACUUUUUUUGAUGUCCAAAGUUAGUUAAAGCUGUAAAGCCAAAAACGAAUUUGCCAUUUUACAGAGAACUUACAGAGAAUGUCAACAAAAGUGGUGGGGGAGACCGUGAGAGCUUGGUAGUUUUAGUGGGGCGCUAGCCUCCAAAAAAGUAACGGAGGCGUUUAAAGGUCGGCUAAGUGUGAAUGGAAACCACACCGAUAGGGCAAAGCCAAAAGCCGGCUUUACUGCGAGAGGGACAUCUCGAGCAGUUGCGAAAGCAGAACUUAGUGAACCGACCUUAAUCUAUAGGAUUGAGGAAGAUAAUCGGCUAAAAGUUACCCCGGGGAUAGACCCUGAAAUAAGGGUCUGUUGUCCAACUCCGUCGUAAGGCGGAGAAUACCAAAAGAAAAACCUACUUCUUUUGGUUGGUACGGCUUAUAACGGUGAACCAAAGGUUGGUCUUCCUCUUUGAGGUUUUAGACCUUUAGGAACACCGUGGGAAGUUAAGAAGGCAUAAAAAACAAUGACAAACUUAACCACAAAACAAAAAUUUGUUUUGUACAGCGCUAUUUUGGGCGAUGGUUAUUUACAAAAAACCGGUUCCAAAAACGCGCGAUUAAGAUUAGAGCAUGGUGCUAAACAAAAAGAUUAUCUAUUUUGGAAGAUAGAAAUGCUCCAUCCGUUUUUUCAGGGUAAACCUAAAAAAGUGGAAAGAAUUCAUCCUAUUACCAAAAAUACUUAUUUUUAUUGGUGCCACCAGUCCCAGACAAAUGCGUAUUUGGGGAAAUUGAGAAAUGUUUUUUAUCCUCAAGGAAAGAAAAUGAUACCACAAUCAAUAGAAAAAUAUCUAAACUCGUCUUCAUUGGCAGUUUGGUAUAUGGACGAUGGAUAUUAUUAUGGAAGAGAUAAAUGUGGCUAUCUUUAUCUUGGCAAUGUUUCGCAAGAGGAGGCAGAAACAUUACAAAACGCAUUGAAAAAUAAAUUUCAGCUUUGCGUUCAUUGGCUAAAAAAGAAAAAGGGCUAUGCAAUUUAUUUUCCGCCGACAGAAAUGCGGAAAUUAAAAGCAUUGCUAAAAGGUUCUUACUUAGAUCAAUUUAAUUAUAAAUUUCCUUCUUAACCCCGUAACGACUGAGGCUUUUAAGCCAAGAUAGCGGUAAAUAACCCGCUAUCAAAUGCCGUCUCCGCCCAAAGCUAAAGCAUUGUGGCGGAUGAAGAUAUAGUCUAUGUAAAAAUUACAUGAACAGGCUAGUAGAGCCCGAGCGUCCAUAGCGACGGCUCUGUUCGGCACCUCGAUGUCGGCUCACCACAUCCUGGAGGUGGAGAAGCUUCCAAGGGUUUGGCUGUUCGCCAAUUAAAGUGGUACGUGAGCUGGGUUCAGUACGUAAUUUACGUUGCGUAAUACUACAGUAAUGUGGUAUAAUAGCACUGACUAAAAUCGGAGAAACCCUUAAAGAGAACCCGUACAUUCUCAAGGGCAAUUCCGAGGGUAAUUCAAGAUCAAUUAUGCAAGAUACAAAGUUAAGUUAUAUCGCCGGCUUCCUAGACGGAGAUGGCUGUAUAAUGCUCCAACUAAUUCGUAGAAAAGAUUACAAGUUAGGAUAUGAAAUUAGGGCAAGCGUGGUUUUUUACCAAAAAUAAAAAAAUAAAUAUUUUUUAGCUUGGUUAAAAAACAAACUUAAGACAGGGUACCUAAGAGAUCGAAAUGACGGAAUGUCAGAAUAUACGAUAGUGGGGGUAAAACCCGUUCAACAGAUUUUGCAAAAAAUCGCACCUUUUUUAAUUUUGAAAAAAGAGCAUUGCAAAGUAGUUUUGAGGGUUUUAAAAAAAAUGCCUCAAGGGAGUAGAGGAAUGGAGGCAAAGAAACUAUUACGAUUAGCUAAAGAAGUGGAUAAAUUCUUUUUUUUGAAUUAUUCAAAAAAAAGAACUAAUACUUCUCAAAAGUUAGAAGAGUAUCUAAAAUUGCAUAAAAUCUUGAGCCCGUAGAGACUUUAUACUUAAAAAUAUAGGAUAAACGGACGAAAACGUUUAUAAUACGUCAGCCCCGCCUUAUGCGGGUGAAGAUAUAGUCCAUGCUUAUCUAAAGAUAAGAAUAACAUGCGCGAGACAGUACGGACCCUAUCUACCGUAGGCGACGAGUCUUGAGGGAAUUCCGAGGCAGUACGAGAGGACCCUUCGGAGUCAACCUCUGGUGUACCAGUUGUCACGCCCGUGGCAUUGCUGGGUAGCUAAGUUGGUUAAGGAUAAGCGCUGAAAGCAUAUAAGCGCGAAGCCCAUCCCAAGAUUAGGACUCAUUUGAGAUUGGUCAAAGACUAUGACCUUGAUAGGCCCUAAGUGUAAGCUUGGUAACAAGCUCAGCUGAGGGGUACUAAUAAAUCGAAAUCUCUUUUUG
Parcubacteria group bacterium CG1_02_37_13 is the source of this 6240-nucleotide non-coding RNA. The record is from Rfam.